CCUAGAGGCAGAAGGUCCUGGGUUCAAAUCAGACCUUGGAUACUUCCCAGCUGUGUGACUCUGAUAGGCAGAAAACAGCUGUUUUACAUCUCAGCAACAGGACCCUAAAGUCCUGGCUGGAAGAGCUGUUUCUAAAUAUCCUUUCCCUUAAGGAACAACUUCCUGGAUUAAAAAAAAAAAAACCCUGUGGAAAGUUUGUUGCUUUGCCCUGCUCCCCACGUAUUUUGUGAAAUUACAAAAUAUAUAUAAAAAUGAGUACUACAUUCUUUGACAAUUAUAUGGCAGCUGAAGAAUUAGGGGCAUUGAGGAAUGAAGGAUACCUCCAAAUUUUUAUAUUAAUAGGUACUGUCAUUUUUGUACUCCUCAAUACUAUAUUUAGAGAUGCUAAAAUAAAAAAUAUUGAGGAUAAAAUAGAAAAUAUUGAGGAUAAAAUGCAAGCCCAAUUAGAAGAUCUAAAAUGUUUCUUACAGGAUCAAUGGACAAAUACCCACUCUACCAGAAACAGACCUGUUUCUGAACCUUUGAAUGAGGAAAUUUCCUUCCCUGAAAUAGAGACGGAAAACACCUUCCCUAUAGCCCAGUUAACAGACUGCUUCUCUCGUGUAGUGCAAAUCUUGUCUGAAUUUAAUCCCCAAAACCCUUCCCCUGCAAUCCCAGUUUCUCAUGUUCCCUCUCCUACAGAAAACCAAAUUCCAAAGCAAAGGAGAUCUUGUCCUCCUAGAGAAAGCUGUCCUUGUCAAACUGACCCACAGGUACAAAAUUCAACUAGAGGCCUGUUUCCUCUAAGAGAAGUACCUGAAAUAGGACGGAAUGGGGAUGUGUUGACUUUAAGACAUAGGAUACCGUUUACUCCCCAAGAAAUAAAUGAAUUUACACGAAAUAUCCCCACAUAUGAACAAGAUCCUUUUCUAGUAACAAAAAAGAUGGGAGACAUAUUUUUUCAGUAUAACCCGUCUUACAAGGACGUUGAGAACUUACUACAGGCUUUUUUAAGUGAACGUGAAAAAAAUAAAAUAAUUGCUCAUGUCAACAAAACCCGGGGGCGUAAUGCAGCACUUCACAUCUAGCAGAUUGGCUAACAUGAAUCCAAAGGAA
RNAcentral lists this long non-coding RNA (1095 nucleotides) under Monodelphis domestica (gray short-tailed opossum). RNAcentral describes it as "lncRNA (ENSMODG00000047357.1)". The record is from RNAcentral. Lineage: Eukaryota; Metazoa; Chordata; Mammalia; Didelphimorphia; Didelphidae.